This 487-nucleotide ribosomal RNA is filed under the name uncultured bacterium. RNAcentral describes it as "partial 16S ribosomal RNA". It matches the Rfam family "Bacterial small subunit ribosomal RNA", at positions 28 to 507 of the family's 1533-position model. The record is from RNAcentral.
GAUGAACGCUAGCGAUAGGCUUAACACAUGCAAGUCGAGGGGCAGCACAAGGUAGCUUGCUAUCUGGGUGGCGACCGGCGCACGGGUGCGUAACGCGUAUGCAACUUGCCCUAUACAGGAGGAUAACCCGUCGAAAGACGGACUAAUACUGCGUAUGCUCACAACUUGGCAUCAAGUGGUGAGGAAAGAAAUUCGGUAUAGGAUAGUCAUGCGUCCCAUUAGCUUGUUGGUGAGGUAACGGCUCACCAAGGCAACGAUGGGUAGGGGAACUGAGAGGUUUAUCCCCCACGCUGGUACUGAGACACGGACCAGACUCCUACGGGAGGCAGCAGUGAGGAAUAUUGGUCAAUGGGCGCGAGCCUGAACCAGCCAAGUCGCGUGAAGGAUGACUGUCUUAUGGAUUGUAAACUUCUUUUAUACGGGAAUAACAAGAGUCACGUGUGACUCCCUGCAUGUACCGUAUGAAUAAGCAUCGGCUAACUCCGUG